UAGAUGUUGUAGAUAAGAAUGUGAAUCCUAAUUAACAGCAAAUGGUCUAACGUGUAGACAUGCACUUAAUCAGAGGUAUAUUUAUCUCUAAGGCUUCAAAAACACUUGCAAUAUGCAGGCAGUUGAGGUACUGCAUAUUGCCUGAGCAGCAUGCAGCCACAUAGGUGGUACCACCUAUGCUGUUUGUAUAUACAAAGAAAUUAAAAAAAUGUUAAAUUCAUAAUCACAGAUUAAAAAAGACAGAAAAAUAGAAAUAACUAAGAAAAUGUAGAAAAAUAACAAAAAGUUGGAGAGAGGACAGAAGGAGAGGAAGCACUCGAUCACUCAUCCAAGGUUUGAGCUUAUGCAGGUGACUUGGGCAGCUGCAGUCUGUUCU
Molecule: long non-coding RNA, 376 nt
Filed under: Elaeis guineensis (African oil palm)
Lineage: Eukaryota; Viridiplantae; Streptophyta; Magnoliopsida; Arecales; Arecaceae
Description: long non-coding RNA (EGUI_LNC016629)
Source: RNAcentral